GCCCCGGUCCCCGCCGGCCUCCGGCUGCUGCUGCCGCCGGUGCUGCCGCGGGGCCGGAGCGGCGGCCGGGGCCGGGCUUGCCCUUGGCUUCGCCUCGCUCCGGGAGCCUUGGCGUGGGGACAGGGGCUGCAGCCCCGCGCCGGGUCCCUGGUGGCGCCCAGGGUGGCUUUAGCAUCUCUUAAGUGUCAUUAGCGGAAAAGUCAUUCAUUUGAUCCCUGGUGAAAAGGAUCGCUAAUCCCAGGGAACGGCGUGCUCAGAGCAAGUGAGAGGACAGGCAGAAAGAAACUUUUGGGAGAGAACGGUCUACUCUUGCCUCGCCUCUGUUUCGCUUAUUUAUUUUGAAGUACUGUAAUAGGUUAAUGCGUUUCCAGGAAAGUCAAUAGAGAAGAGGCGCCACAGAUGCUGUUUACAUGUUUGUUUCUGUCCUCUUGAAACUAUGCUGAGUUGAGUUCUCUGCAGCUGAACGCUUGCGAGGAGGUUUCUGUUAGCCCAGCAGCGUUUCUGGUGCACAGGAGCUGCUCUGGGAGCCGUCUGUAGGUGCUCCUGGCUAUGGGUGGUGCAGCGGCUGUAGGCGUAUCACUGAAGCACGCAUUCCAGCCGGGCAGUGAGCCCAGCCAUUGAAAACUUGGGAAUUUCUGCGGUGCGAAGUUUUUAGAUACCAUGCAUCAGAGGCGCUUGUGCUCUGCAACUACAACCAUCAGCCUGUGCUCAGAGGACACAGAGGAGAAUCUCUCUGACACUGGCAUGACCUUGAAUGCACCAUGUGACUGUAGCUGCUUCUUCAGUGCUGCCUAGGAAUGAAGUCAGAGAGAGAAAUGUGGAGAUGCGUAGUUGUAAAAGUAGCAGUGUGUUAAGGAAAGGCAUCUUAAUUUGGAUAAGUAAUCACAUGGGGAAGAGUCAUACGGGGAGCAAUGUUGCCUCCAGUUCCAUUCUCUGUUCAUCGCUGCUGUCUCAGAUCCACAGGAAUUCCCACCAGUGGCUGACACAGGUCUGUGCUGUGCACACUCACUCCUUGAAGGGUAGCACAAACAGCCCAGUUGUAUAA
This 1045-nucleotide long non-coding RNA is filed under the name Cyanistes caeruleus (blue tit). RNAcentral describes it as "lncRNA (ENSCCEG00000011009.1)". The record is from RNAcentral. Lineage: Eukaryota; Metazoa; Chordata; Aves; Passeriformes; Paridae.